GAGGGAGUCCCUCCCUCUAAAAGCACUCUGUGUGGGGAACAUGAGAGCCAGACCAAAGCUCAGAGGAAGCAACGAGGAACUAAACGCAAACAUGAACCUGAACCCAGCUGUGUGUCCUUACAGAGUGACUGGUCUGAAGAUCGCCCAAUUAAUUUCAGAGGACAUCACUGCUCUACUGCAGAGAGAGUGGACCAGCAGAGCUCAGAGGUUCCCAGUGGUCAGUCUGCCCAGCAGCAUCAAACACACCUGGACUCCAUAUUUAUGGUCUGUACAUGUACAACAACUACUUUUACAUCUAUUCUGUUCACAGUCAUCUCCAUGCUGCUCUUUGUAGACCAGUUGAUUGUCAAUGUCAUGGUCUGGAGUCUGGUGACUCCGUGUUUAUGUUUUGUGUUUAUUAAUAUUAAUAAAUAAUAGUGAGUUAGUUAGUUUUCGGGUUAUUUGUUAUCAUUUAUAGUGUUUAGGUGUUCUCUGUGCCUACCUUGUGUUCUGUC
This is a long non-coding RNA of Oreochromis niloticus (Nile tilapia), 494 nucleotides long. RefSeq lists it as uncharacterized. NCBI's taxonomy places the organism in Eukaryota, Metazoa, Chordata, Actinopteri, Cichliformes, Cichlidae. The transcript has 3 exons. The record is from RefSeq and is a predicted model, not a curated record.